Molecule: long non-coding RNA, 336 nt
Filed under: Helianthus annuus (common sunflower)
Lineage: Eukaryota; Viridiplantae; Streptophyta; Magnoliopsida; Asterales; Asteraceae
Description: sRNA HanXRQr2_Chr04g0159591
Source: RNAcentral
GGGCUGAAUCCAAACUUCUGCAUUGAAGAUGUUGGUAAGGAAGAAAGUGGCUCCGCUCAAUUCCUUAUGCACCGGAUGAAAACUGCCCUCUUUAAGCCUUAAUUUUGGCAGCCCAUCAUAGGCCCAAGAGUGGUAUGAGAAGUCUACUGCCAUAGAUGAUAUGUGAGUGCCAAGUAUGGUCAUGGAGUUAUGAUGUAAAGGAUUAGAUACUAUCAAAACGUUCUUUUGGACUUGCAUUAUAUACCAAGGCCUGCAGAAACUGGACCUGGAUAGGGGACUGGUACGUUUUCUUUAUCUUUUAUUUGGUUCAACUUUCGAUAUAAAUUUUGCUCAAGA